RNAcentral lists this ribosomal RNA (594 nucleotides) under uncultured fungus. Its description in RNAcentral is "eukaryotic LSU rRNA". It matches the Rfam family "Eukaryotic large subunit ribosomal RNA", at positions 37 to 654 of the family's 3401-position model. The record is from RNAcentral. Lineage: Eukaryota; Fungi.
AGCAUAUCAAUAAGCGGAGGAAAAGAAACCAACAGGGAUUGCCCCAGUAACGGCGAGUGAAGCGGCAACAGCUCAAAUUUGAAAUCUGGCCCCCAGGGUCCGAGUUGUAAUUUGCAGAGGAUGAUUUUGGCGAGGUGCCUUCCGAGUUCCCUGGAACGGGACGCCACAGAGGGUGAGAGCCCCGUCUGGUUGGACGCCGAGCCUAUGUAAAUCUCCUUCGACGAGUCGAGUAGUUUGGGAAUGCUGCUCUAAAUGGGAGGUAUAUGUCUUCUAAAGCUAAAUAUUGGCCAGAGACCGAUAGCGCACAAGUAGAGUGAUCGAAAGAUGAAAAGCACUUUGAAAGGAGGGUUAAAUAGUACGUGAAAUUGUUGAAAGGGAAGCGCUCAUGACCAGACUUGGGCCCGGUGAAUCAUCCAGCGUUCUCGCUGGUGCACUUUGCCGGGCUCAGGCCAGCAUCAGUUUGCCCCGGGGGAUAAAGGCUUUGGGAAUGUGGCUCCUCCGGGAGUGUUAUAGCCCAUUGCAUAAUAUCCUGGGGCGGACUGAGGUUCGCGCAUCUGCAAGGAUGCUGGCGUAAUGGUCAUCAGCGACCCGUCU